UGGGGAAUAUUGGACAAUGGGCGAAAGCCUGAUCCAGCCAUGCCGCGUGGGUGAAGAAGGCCCUAGGGUUGUAAACCCCUUUCAGCGGGGAAGAUAAUGACGGUACCCGCAGAAGAAGCCCCGGCUAACUCCGUGCCAGCAGCCGCGGUAAUACGGAGGGGGCUAGCGUUGUUCGGAAUUACUGGGCGUAAAGCGCGCGUAGGCGGACCUGCAAGUCGGGGGUGAAAGCCCGAGGCUCAACCUCGGAACUGCCUUCGAUACAGCGGGUCUCGAGUCCGGGAGAGGUGAGUGGAAGUCCUAGUGUAGAGGUGAAAUUCGUAGAUAUUAGGAAGAACACCAGUGGCGAAGGCGGCUCACUGGCCCGGUACUGACGCUGAGGCGCGAAAGCGUGGGGAGCAAACAGG
RNAcentral lists this ribosomal RNA (404 nucleotides) under bacterium. Its description in RNAcentral is "partial 16S ribosomal RNA". It matches the Rfam family "Bacterial small subunit ribosomal RNA", at positions 355 to 776 of the family's 1533-position model. The record is from RNAcentral.